UUUAAUUGAAGAGUUUGAUCAUGGCUCAGAUUGAACGCUGGCGGCAGGCCUAACACAUGCAAGUCGAGCGGUAACAGGGGAAGCUUGCUUCCCGCUGACGAGCGGCGGACGGGUGAGUAAUGUAUGGGGAUCUGCCCGAUAGAGGGGGAUAACUACUGGAAACGGUGGCUAAUACCGCAUAAUCUCUUAGGAGCAAAGCAGGGGAACUUCGGUCCUUGC
RNAcentral lists this ribosomal RNA (219 nucleotides) under Providencia stuartii. RNAcentral describes it as "partial 16S ribosomal RNA". It matches the Rfam family "Bacterial small subunit ribosomal RNA", at positions 1 to 216 of the family's 1533-position model. The record is from RNAcentral. Lineage: Bacteria; Pseudomonadati; Pseudomonadota; Gammaproteobacteria; Enterobacterales; Morganellaceae.